CAUGGGUCCAAAACAUUAUUCUCCAUAGUUGGGUUCAGGUUGUUAGAUAUGUGUAGCAACAUCCUUAUUUCUAAGGUUGUGAACUGUGUUGAUCAGAUUCCUGCUUUCCAGUGCUUUAUGGUUUUUUGCUUCUUUGCUCGACAUACAGAUGUAUCUUAAACUUGUUUAUUUUUGCUGGAUUGCAAAAUGCAUUUUUGUGCAUUUGAAUUAAUUUCCCUUAUUAUGCAGAUUUCGCUGAGCUCUCUUGCCAUGGGAAG
RNAcentral lists this unclassified non-coding RNA (257 nucleotides) under Hevea brasiliensis (rubber tree). The record is from RNAcentral. Lineage: Eukaryota; Viridiplantae; Streptophyta; Magnoliopsida; Malpighiales; Euphorbiaceae.